Meleagris gallopavo (turkey) is the source of this 1700-nucleotide non-coding RNA. Lineage: Eukaryota; Metazoa; Chordata; Aves; Galliformes; Phasianidae. The record is from RefSeq and is a predicted model, not a curated record.
UUGCCAGAAAAUCAAAUCAAUUCUGUUUUAUUUUUAAGACUUGGAAGGUUUUGACUCUGUAGUACCAAUUGCUGAGAAACUUAAUCAUCCAACUACGACCAGACCAAAAGCUACUGGCAGGCGACCACCCUCCCAGUCUUUCACAUCUUCGUCCCUUUCAAGCCCAGAUUUCUUUGACUCACCAAGUCCUGAAGAAGAGAAAGAAGAACAUGUUUCCAUUACACACAAAACUAUUGAAGUGUCAAAGAAAUCAAGAACUGUUACAAUAUCACAGGUAUUUGAUAAUAAAACUCCAUUGCCUCCAAAGCCAGGAGGUUUGGCUAGUGGCAGUAAUGUACAACCAUCUCUAUCCCCUUCACCAUCACCUGGAUUUCAUUCAAUUGCUAUGGGAACAACAGGCCACAGGUCAAAUUCCCCAUCCCUACUUGGUGCAGAAGGAAAGCCAAAGACUGAACACUUGAGCCAGGGUCAGACUGCCCUGGAGGAGCUGAAAACACAAGUUAAGGAGCUAAGAACUAUCAUUGAAACGAUGAAAGACCAGCAAAAAAAAGAGAUUAAGCAGUUGCUGUCUGAAUUGGAUGAAGAAAAGAAGAUCCGUCUACGAUUGCAGAUGGAAGUUAAUGACAUAAAGAAAGCUCUUCAAUCAAAGUGAAUACUUGAUAGAUGGAAUGUUGCAUUAUUCUACGUGACUGAGACUCAAAUUUAUGCCCCAGCCAAAAUAACUUUGUGCCAAAUGAUUUAAGAAUUGCCUCAACAUCCCUUUAUCGAAGGAUUAGCACAACCGUUUUUGAUAGCACAACAGAAAUACCAACAGUGAGGAAAAAUCUUCCACACGAAGCGGUGCUGUGUGGCACUGGUUGUGACUGAAUUCGAUCUUCUUGUGCUAAAGGCUCUCUACUUCAAGAUCAUAGGUGAAAUGAAAACUCAGGCAGUUUAGUCCAUAGUGGUACUAUUUUGAUGAUAUUUUUCCAUAAAUAAAGUGUAUUUCAGAUUAUCUGUUUACAAGCUUUAUGAUUUUGAUUUUUUUUUUUUUUUGUUUUUGUUUUUGUUUUUUAAUUGUCUUUUGUCACAGAUUUUAAAAUGUUUCUACUGCGUAUAGCCAGGAAUGAAUGUUAACGUUGGGGCUGGAGGGAUUAUUUUUGCUUCGAGAUAGAACAGCCUACUUCUUGUUACACUUUUAAGUUGUUAAAUAUGCAAUUUCAUGUCCCCCAACCCCCUACAAUGAAACUUACGUUGUGUACAGUAAUGUAUUUAGGAGAAGAAAACCAACAGAAUAAGAAUCCGGUCUUUGCAAUGAUUUGUGCCUUUCUUUGCCACACACCAACGGGAGCUGGUUGCAGGUCAGGUGUCCAUCACGUAGCUACCCCCAUCUCCCGUCACCGGUGUCCGGUAGAGGUCACACUCACCGUGUAAGCUAGCUGCUCCACACAGCCAGGUACCUGCCAAGCGGUGGGACAGUGGCAGAGUUGAGAGCAUCUCUGUCUUCAUCAGCUGUGGCUUUUUUAGCUUUCCUGUUUUCAGUAGCCUCUCCUUUGGUUUUGAAUGUUUAUCUCCGCUUGGUUUUCAGUAGAUGAUUUCAGCGCCAGCCUCCGUCCCCAAUUUUGCACAGAGUGAACAGAAUAUGCAUUAUUAAAGCAAAAAUAAAGAAAAGUAAACUAUAAAAUGCGAAUAAAAAGUUGUAUUAUUUCCUGCACAAGGUU